GACGAACACUGGCGGCGUGCUUAACACAUGCAAGUCGAACGGAAAGGCCCUGCUUUUGUGGGGUGCUCGAGUGGCGAACGGGUGAGUAACACGUGAGUAACCUGCCCUUGACUUUGGGAUAACUUCAGGAAACUGGAGCUAAUACCGGAUAGGAGCUCCUGCUGCAUGGUGGGGGUUGGAAAGUUUCGGCGGUUGGGGAUGGACUCGCGGCUUAUCAGCUUGUUGGUGGGGUAGUGGCUUACCAAGGCUUUGACGGGUAGCCGGCCUGAGAGGGUGACCGGCCACAUUGGGACUGAGAUACGGCCCAGACUCCUACGGGAGGCAGCAGUGGGGAAUAUUGCACAAUGGGCGGAAGCCUGAUGCAGCAACGCCGCGUGCGGGAUGACGGCCUUCGGGUUGUAAACCGCUUUCGCCUGUGACGAAGCGUGAGUGACGGUAAUGGGUAAAGAAGCACCGGCUAACUACGUG
Molecule: ribosomal RNA, 468 nt
Filed under: uncultured bacterium
Lineage: Bacteria
Description: partial 16S ribosomal RNA
Rfam family: Bacterial small subunit ribosomal RNA
Source: RNAcentral